UCAAUCAAGAUCUAACUAAUCAUAUCAUGAUCUAUAGAUUAUCCAUCAUAUUUCAAACUCCAUAUGUCAUAAUCUCUUACGAUCUUUUUAUACACAAUCUUAAUGUUAAAUCAAAAAUUAUAAAGAUUUCUCCCACUACAAUCAUCAAAGAUCUACACCAUAAUGUCCUUAGUGUCUAUCCACUUACACUCCUUCUAUAUCUGAUUCUAUGUUUCAUAAUUCAUCCACUUAUGCUCUGAUACCAUAUUAAUUGUCACGCCCCCAACCCGAGAUUGUGAAUCGAGGGUCAUGGCAACCGCCGCAUACUCAUAGAAAACUCUUCCCACAAGC
This 330-nucleotide long non-coding RNA is filed under the name Elaeis guineensis (African oil palm). RNAcentral's name for it is "long non-coding RNA (EGUI_LNC045760)". The record is from RNAcentral. Lineage: Eukaryota; Viridiplantae; Streptophyta; Magnoliopsida; Arecales; Arecaceae.